GAACUGAAGAGUUUGAUCAUGGCUCAGAUUGAACGUUGGCGGCAGGCCUAACACAUGCAAGUCGAACGAGAAAGCGCCUUCGGGCGCGAGUAAAGUGGCGGACGGGUGAGUAACGCGUAGGAAUCUACCCAGCGGUGGGGGACAACUCGGGGAAACUCGAGCUAAUACCGCAUGACAUCCCAACUCUUCGGAGGCGGGAUCAAAGGGGGCCUCUCCUUGGAAGCUCCCGCCGUUGGAGGAGCCUGCGUUGGAUUAGCUUGUUGGUGGGGUAACGGCCCACCAAGGCGACGAUCCAUAGCUGGUCUGAGAGGAUGACCAGCCACACUGGAACUGAGACACGGUCCAGACUCCUACGGGAGGCAGCAGUGGGGAAUCUUGGGCAAUGGGCGCAAGCCUGACCCAGCCAUGCCGCGUGUGCGAAGAAGGCUCUAGGGUUGUAAAGCACUUUCAGUGGUGAAGAAAAUCUCGGGGUUAAUACCCCCGGGUCUUGACGUUAGCCACAGAAGAAGCACCGGCUAACUCCGUGCCAGCAGCCGCGGUAAUACGGAGGGUGCGAACGUUAAUCGGAAUUACUGGGCGUAAAGCGCGCGUAGGCGGUUCGGCAAGUGGGAUGUGAAAGCCCCGGGCUCAACCUGGGAACUGCAUUCCAAACUGCCGAACUGGAGUAUGGUAGAGGGAGGUAGAAUUUCCUGUGUAGCGGUGGAAUGCGUAGAUAUAGGAAGGAAUACCGAUGGCGAAGGCAGCCUCCUGGACCAAUACUGACGCUGAGGCGCGAAAGCGUGGGUAGCAAACAGGAUUAGAUACCCUGGUAGUCCACGC
This 819-nucleotide ribosomal RNA is filed under the name Gammaproteobacteria bacterium. RNAcentral's name for it is "bacterial SSU rRNA". It matches the Rfam family "Bacterial small subunit ribosomal RNA", at positions 1 to 800 of the family's 1533-position model. Lineage: Bacteria; Pseudomonadati; Pseudomonadota; Gammaproteobacteria. The record is from RNAcentral.